Vespa velutina is the source of this 3074-nucleotide long non-coding RNA. RefSeq lists it as uncharacterized. The record is from RefSeq and is a predicted model, not a curated record. NCBI's taxonomy places the organism in Eukaryota, Metazoa, Arthropoda, Insecta, Hymenoptera, Vespidae. The transcript is spliced from 3 exons.
CUUCUAGAAAUUCCUUGAAUCUUGGCAUCAGCCAGACGUCACCUCUUGAUGCAAUAGACCUUUUGUUUAUAUAUGGAUCAAUCAAAAUCCUAGUGAUAAAAUUAUUAUCCAAUAGGAUGCAAGUUUCAUAGAUGAUCAGCUAAAUGCAUCUGAAGAGAGGGAAAAUUAGAAAGAGUCAAUCAGAAGAAAAGUCAAGUCGGUCAUUAUUCGUCUUACUGUAAAGUCGGUAACUAAGCAGGUACUAAGUAGGUAAUAAGUCUGUAUAUUGUAUUCUAUGAUGCUGGCAAUUAAGUAAUUAGUUCGUAUUCUGAAAUCUGUAAAGUCAAUAACCAAGUAAUAAUUCGGUAUUUUGCAUUUUGUAAAAUCAAUAAUUACCUAAUAAUACGUAUUCGGUAUUUCAUAAGAUCAAUAACAAGCUUGUAUUCCAAAUUUGAUCAAGAACCUAAUAAAAUUUAUAGGACUUUAUUCAAAAAUUAGUGAUUAUUCAAUUAGUAAAGCAACCUUUUCUCAAAAUACUUUUUUCAAAGCCAAUGGAUAUAUCUAAAAAACUGCUAAAUGAAUCGUUUUCAAAUUUACACAAAAUACACAAUAGAAAAUUUACACAAAAUCCUACUUUUUUUUUAAAUCGAUCUCAAUUUUUUAAUAAUUAUGUAGAAAUGAUGAUUUUUCUUAUAAAUUUUCCAUGUUCGAGUUUCAAUUCGUCAUCAUUUUGUAAAAAAUAAUCGAUUUUAAAAGUCCAACGUGACUAACGACUCGUUUUUGGUGUUAUCUUGAACCGUUUCAUUUGUUGAUUCCAAAUUCAUCGUUUAGCUGAAGAAUGUCCAUCUCCGAAUAUCUCCAAACAAAAAUUCAUUGUUUGAUGGCAGCCAUAUUUUUAUUAUUUUUUGAUAUUUUUGGAUAAUCUUUUUGAAAGCUCUCAAUACCUUCAAAUAAAAAAAAAAAUACGUCUCAUUUCUACCAAUCGUUUCUGAGAAAAAAAUUUCGAAUUCCGAAAAUUUUUCAAGCUUCUAAAUGGAUCGUGAUUCCUUCAAGACAUGUGUCCAUUUAAGAGUAAAACUAUCAGGAAUUGAUGUUGAGAGUAUUUCUUAUUUGUGGAGACUAUAUAAAAGUAAUUAUUUGAGAGCACGGUUCAACUAUAUGAGAACUGAUUGCGUUGUAGCAUACUCUCAAAUGGAAACAGAGGGAUAGCUCUUGGAGAGUUCUCUUGGAAAUACAAAUAAGCUUGGUAUUUUGACCCUGUUUAUACACAUCUGUAAACAAAUAUUCGUUAAUUCGACGAAUAUUAAUAAAUCCGUCAGAUUUUCCAAAUUCAUUAUGUCAGGAUUAAAAUUUAGAUAUUGCAUUACAUUUAGAUUUUAAAUUAGAUGUAUGUUCUUCGAUCCUUAAGGAAGCCAUUCAUUUGAAAAUUUCUAGCGACAGUUGUUCUCAAAAAUAUUCUCCAGUUUUGUAUCCAUUUGAGAGCAACCUUUAAAUUAAUUAAUAUUUAAUAUUUUAAAUUAAUAUUUUUUUCGUUUCAUAAUUCAGCUUUAAGGAAUGAAAUCAACUUUUGAAAAAAAAUCAAAAUUUUUUUUUCAUAAAAUAUCUCAGAAACAAUGGAGGAUAUCUGAAAAUAGCUUGAACAAAAGUUGCAUCGUUUCGUUGUGCCUAUUAAAGUUCGUAAACAGAAUUUUUGAAAUAUUCAUGAUUUUUGAGUUACCUAUCUAUAAUAUAAUAUUUUUAUUAAAACACUGGAAAACAGGGUUAGUCAUUCCUAUACAUAAAUCAAGGAAAAAGUCGACAACCAGGAAAUUAUAAACCAAGAGAAACACAACACAAUCCAACAAACGAGAAAAGUUAACACAUAUUAGCACAACAGAUAUUAGUACAAAUUUUAACAAAGGAAAUAAAACUGUAUUACUAUUAUUUGAUAUCAAAAAAGCCUUUUAUAAGACCUGAAAAUUUUAUUUACAUAAUUUAUAAUAUUUGUUAAAUAAUACGUUUUAAUUACUGAAUGGUUUUAACAAUUAAUAAUUUUCUUGUUAUAUAACAUGAAGUUAUUGUCAUUUCUUUAAUUUAUCAAUCUAGCACGUCCCAUAAGUUCUCAAUCGAGUUAAAAUCUGAUAACAGAGGUGGUGGAUAUAAUACUUUUGGAUAAUAUACUUUGGAAUUCUUACACAAUAUAUAUAUCUACUGAACAUAGGAUUGAAAAAAAUAAUAUUUUUUAUAUAAAUAGUAAAUUUACGAAAUAAAUUUUUUAUUUUAUUUUUUGUAUUCUUUAAUUGUACUGUCACCAAAACUUUCAUUAAAAAUAAUAAAAAACAUAAUAGAAACUCACAAUUAAUUCAAAAUAUUUACAUGAACAAGAGCUAAAAAAUCCAACAAAAAAGAGAUGAAAUUCAAGCUUUGCCCUCUGUGUGGAUGUCCAAAUUGAAUGAAUGAAUUCUUUACUUUUGCGAAGUCAAAUUUGAUGUCUAAUGAAAAUAGUUAACAAAAAGGAACAGUGAUUUUUUUGGAGCUUUAAGCAACUCUUUAAAUGUUUGUUUUAUUUUCUUAAUUAUAUCUACGUUAAGUAAGUUUUGCGAUCUAGAUUGUGUUAAGCUGUUCUAGAAAAAUAUAUUCUGAUACAUUUUCAUUAAGAUCUUUGUUGUCUUGUUGAGUAAUUUCCAUGAUAUAAUUGGGAACAUUAAUUAUAGAUAUUAUAUAUUCAUUUUGUAUCAAAAUGUAAGAAUAAAUUAUAUGAUUUGACUACAAAUAUAUUCUCAUAUUACACGAAGAAAUUCUUCAGUAGAAGAAAAAUGUAGAUAUACAUGCGUCUGGAACCUAAAUAAAUCAUAUACUUUUAAAAUAUAUUUAUAUAUAAAUGAAUUAAAAUUAACCAAAAUAGUCACGUAUACAAAGACUUUAUACAAACUUAUUUGAAAUAAAUCCAUUAAAUGAGAAGAUAAGAUAUCCCAAAUUCUUAUUGUACAAUCUAUAGGAGAUAUGAUUAAUUAUCUCGUAUCAAGACAAAAUAUUGCAUCUACUAGCUGUCCUUUAUGUCCACAAAAAUGUCUCAUUAUUUUUUUUAUAUUUAAAAAAUUUUUUUUAUAUUUAAA